UUAAAAUCAACCCAGGUGUAUCCACACGUUGGAUUGCUCUUAGGGUUUGAGAUGUUGUACGUCGUUGCUUUGCCCUGAUGGGUGACGUUGCACGGGUCAACAAAUAGGCCUACGCCAACUGCUGGAAUGAAUAAAAAAAGGCACUUCAUUCCGACUCCAAAUUCGAUCCUUUGUGGUAUGGUCGUCUCGGGCUAGGUAUGACUCGGAGAGUGGUUAAUGUUCCACAGGUGGUUUAUUCUAACAGAGACACAAGGUAAACGAGCUGGCGUUCUGUGAACAGGACAGGUGAACAGAGUAUAGUGCAGAAUGGUGAAUAAGCCACGCCUAAUUUUUUUACCCGGGUAAACCCCCGGUCUGUCUUGGCUUAAGCGGAAAUUGCAAAGUGGCAAAGUUUAGUCUUUAACUUAUCUACAAAAUGUUGUUGUCCAUUAGGUGGAGAAGAAACCAUUGAAACAUGUCUCCGAGACGCGCCGAAACUCCGAGGAGGCAACAUGUCAGCCGUCACCUCCGGGGCUCAGAGACUCGCUCAGAGAGCCGCCAAGAGGCUCUGAUGAGCUCGGAGCGGGACGCAGAGGAACAAGGGAGAGACAUGCGAGCAACGGCAUUUUCAUCCGUUAUAUAAAUAUCUCAUACAUAAAUAAAAGAAUAUCAUUACUAAAUAAUUAUGCAGGCUUUAUAAUAAUAAUAAUUACAAAGAGUAAUAUUUAAUUAAUUUGCGGUGCUGUGAUGCGUUUUCAUCAGUGUGUGUGUGUGUGUGUGUGUGUGUGUGUGUGUGUGUGUGUGUGUGUGUGUGUGUGUGUGUGCGUGUGUGUGCGCGCUUAUGCAUCAUGUUUGUGCGUGUGUGGAGGCUUGAGAGGAGUGGACAGAGGGGGAGAGAGUGAGAGGGGGAGAGCAAGAGCGAAGGAGCGAGAGCAGCAGAGCCAUGAAGACUGUCUUUGUGCUUGUGUAAAGCUGGAGAGACCACAUUUGUCACAUGCGCUGUACAUCCAGGCCUGCAUCGCAUCAGCUCCACUGCGGUGGAGGAGACCUUCAGACCUGCAGACUAAACACGUGGAGGACGUUCCAACAGGAGUCCCAGCAGCCUGUGAGCUUCACACCCGUCUAGAGGUUAGCAGAGGCCUUUAACACAAGAGGCUCACGGUGGAUUCAUUUUCAGGGGUACGGGUUAGGGGGCGGCAUGCUCGAGGAGGCCCACGACUGUGGACAUUGGGGGUACGACUACGAACCCAGAGCGUUGGGCCUGGGGGUACAAGGCUAGACACCACAGCACUAGCCUGGCCUCCUGCACUCCUAUACGGAUGACAAGGCACUCGCACUUAUUGUAUGUUGUAGCCACAGAGAGACAUAUCAAUCAUAUGUAACAGCUGUAACAGCAAAACAAUAACAAUCAGCGUCAGUACCAUCCUACCAGUAGACAGCGUUUGGCUCACUGCACUUUCUCUCUGACAUCAACCCUCGACAGUCAACUUAGCUCUAAGCAUGAAUUUCAGGAUUCAAACUGGACAUUACUUGAAAACUGUACUAUAGUUGAUCCACCUAUGAGCAGUUUCAAUAAAAAUCGGUGUUUUAAUUAAAUAAAUUGUAAGUUAUGUUUCUUUAUUAGUGAAAUGUGCAACAUUUUCAAUUGUAGUAAUUCAGGUAAAGCGAAAUUGUGACAUUUUCUCUGGAAUACAUUGCAUUCUAGUGGUGCACAGUUGUACCUUAUUUUACAAUUUAUAGCUUAGCAUUGCAUAUUUCUACCCAUUAUGCAAGAAACUGUUGGUACCGUGCACAUGACGUUGAUAUGACCUACACCUUAUAUUUAUCAACAAGUUAGGAAUACAGCCCACUUAUACGUGAUUGUCUUUAUUAUUCAUAUUGUGAUCAAAAACAAUAAGAAUGUGUUGCAAAAAACACUUUUUUUUUUAAGAGUCCUCUCUUAGUUUGGAAGAUUGGGAAGCUAAGAUGGUCCUCAAUUUGAUCAAGAACACAGACGACAUCAAAGUUACAGCUUGAUGUCAAAAUACAAAAUCACAUUAAGCAUUAUAAGAAUAUAAAAAAACAGCAA
This is a long non-coding RNA of Gadus macrocephalus (Pacific cod), 2047 nucleotides long. RefSeq lists it as uncharacterized. NCBI's taxonomy places the organism in Eukaryota, Metazoa, Chordata, Actinopteri, Gadiformes, Gadidae. The record is from RefSeq and is a predicted model, not a curated record. The transcript is spliced from 2 exons.